GCGCGCGCAGGUGGUUUCUUAAGUCUGAUGUGAAAGCCCACGGCUCAACCGGGGAGGGGCAUUGGAAACUGGGAAACUUGAGUGCAGAAGAGGAAGGUGGAAUUCCAUGUGUAGCGGUGAAAUGCGUAGAGAUAUGGAGGAACACCAGUGGCGAAGGCGACUUUCUGGUCUGUUACUGACACUGAGGCGCGAAAGCGUGGGGAGCAAACAGGAUUAGAUACCCUGGUAGUCCACGCCGUAAACGAUGACUGCUAACUGUUAGAGGGUUUCCGCCCUUUAUGGCUGAACUUAACGCAUUAAUCACUCCGCCGGGGGAGUACGGCCGCAAGGCUGAAACUCAAUGGAAUUGACGGGGGCCCGCACAAGCGGGGGAGCAUGUGGUUUAUUUCAAACCACCGCGAAAAACCUUACCAGGUCUUGACAUCCUAUGAAUUUCCUAAAAAGGAUGGUUCUCCUUCG
This 459-nucleotide ribosomal RNA is filed under the name Bacillus cereus. Its description in RNAcentral is "bacterial SSU rRNA". It matches the Rfam family "Bacterial small subunit ribosomal RNA", at positions 565 to 1023 of the family's 1533-position model. The record is from RNAcentral. Lineage: Bacteria; Bacillati; Bacillota; Bacilli; Caryophanales; Bacillaceae.